Molecule: ribosomal RNA, 164 nt
Filed under: Aconitum richardsonianum var. pseudosessiliflorum
Lineage: Eukaryota; Viridiplantae; Streptophyta; Magnoliopsida; Ranunculales; Ranunculaceae
Description: 5.8S ribosomal RNA
Rfam family: 5.8S ribosomal RNA
About the family: 5.8S ribosomal RNA (5.8S rRNA) is a component of the large subunit of the eukaryotic ribosome. It is transcribed by RNA polymerase I as part of the 45S precursor that also contains 18S and 28S rRNA.
Source: RNAcentral
UCAAACGACUCUCGGCAACGGAUAUCUCGGCUCUUGCAUCGAUGAAGAACGUAGCGAAAUGCGAUACUUGGUGUGAAUUGCAGAAUCCCGUGAACCAUCGAGUCUUUGAACGCAAGUUGCGCCCGAGACCAUUAGGUCGAGGGCACGUCUGCCUGGGCGUCACA